Molecule: transfer RNA, 73 nt
Filed under: Candidatus Purcelliella pentastirinorum
Lineage: Bacteria; Pseudomonadati; Pseudomonadota; Gammaproteobacteria; Enterobacterales; Enterobacteriaceae
Rfam family: tRNA
About the family: Transfer RNA (tRNA) molecules are approximately 80 nucleotides in length. Their secondary structure includes four short double-helical elements and three loops (D, anti-codon, and T loops).
Source: Rfam by way of RNAcentral
GGGGCUAUAGCUCAGUUGGUAGAGCAUCUGCUUUGCAAGCAGAAGGUCGGGGGUUCGAAACCGCCUAGCUCCA